This 1072-nucleotide ribosomal RNA is filed under the name Microcystis aeruginosa TAMA3. Its description in RNAcentral is "bacterial SSU rRNA". It matches the Rfam family "Bacterial small subunit ribosomal RNA", at positions 218 to 1285 of the family's 1533-position model. The record is from RNAcentral. Lineage: Bacteria; Bacillati; Cyanobacteriota; Cyanophyceae; Chroococcales; Microcystaceae.
CUGAAGAAAAGCCUUGCGUCUGAUUAGCUAGUUGGUGGGGCUAAAGGCCUACCAAGGCGACGAUCAGUAGCUGGGUCUGAGAGGAUGAGCAGCCACACUGGGACUGAGACACGGCCCAGACUCCUACCGGGAGGCAGCAGUGGGGAAUUUUCCGCAAUGGGCGAAAGCCUGACGGAGCAACGCCGCGUGAAGGGAGGAAGGUCUUUGGAUUGUAAACCUCUUUCUCAAGGAAGAAGUUCUGACGGUACAUUGAGGAAUCGCCUCGGCUAACUCCGUGCCAGCACGCCGCGGUAAUACGGGGGAGCAAGCGUUAUCCGGAAUUAUUGGGCGUAAUAGCGUCCGCAGGUGGUCAGCCAAGUCUGCUAGUCAAAUCAGGUUGCUUAACGACCUAAAGGCGGUGGAAACUGGCAGACUAGAGAGCAGUAGAGGUAGCAGGAAUUCCCAGUGUAGCGGUGAAAUGCAUAGAGAUUGGGAAGAACAUCGGUGGCGAAAGCGUUCUACUGGGCUGUAUCUGACACUCAGGGACGAAAGCUAGGGGAGCGAAAGGGAUUAGAUACCCCUGUACCUCCUAGCCGUAAACGAUGGAUACUAGGCGUGGCUUGUAUCGACCCGAGCCGUGCCGAAGCUAACGCGUUAAGUAUCCCGCCUGGGGAGAACGCACGCAAGUGUGAAACUCAAAGGAAUUGACGGGGGCCCGCACAAGCGGUGGAGUAUGUGGUUAAAUUCGAUGCAACGCGAAGAACCUUACCAAGACUUGACAUGUCGCGAACCCUGGUGAAAGCUGGGGGUGCCUUCGGGUGCGCGAACACAGGUGGUGCAUGGCUGUCGUCAGCUCGUGUCGAGAGAUGUUGGGUUAAGUCCCGCAAACGAGCGCAACCCUCGUUUCUUAGUUGCCAGCAUUAAGUUGGGGGACUCUAAGGAGACUCCGGUGACAAACCGGAGGAAGGUGGGGGAUGAGUCAAGUCAGCAUGCCCCCUUACGCUUGGGGCCGAACACACGUACUAACAAUGGAUCGCGGAACAAAGGGGUCAGCCGAAACCUUCGCGGAGAUUAUCGUAUCUUCAUGGACGAU